This is a long non-coding RNA of Strongylocentrotus purpuratus (purple sea urchin), 666 nucleotides long. RefSeq lists it as uncharacterized. The record is from RefSeq and is a predicted model, not a curated record. The transcript has 3 exons. NCBI's taxonomy places the organism in Eukaryota, Metazoa, Echinodermata, Echinoidea, Camarodonta, Strongylocentrotidae.
UGCAACAUCUUGACAUAUGCCCUGUAAGGUCUGCAAUAUUGAUCAAGACUAUACAAGCCCCAAAACCCCAAAAUGCGACUGCCGCCUUUUUUAAACGGCUACACAGCUGGCAUCUCUCUGGGCUACACUAGCACUGUGUGUGUGUGCACAUGUAAUCAAUGCAUGCAGUGUGUGCGUGUACCCAGCCAGGCCAUGCCUUAUGACACACACACAAGACAGCAGGACAGCCAUUCCUAUCCUCAACAGCUACAGGAGCCAGAGCAGAGAGACGAAAUCUUUUUAUUACUUUGUUUUCCCCUGCUAUUCUUCAAUAUGGACUCUAGGCAUCUUUUGACAUCUUUUGCCAAACAGUGGAUUCAAAGCAUAUUGUGGACACAGUAGGCCUAUAUUGACGUGAGACCAUGCAGAAAAUGCUACUUUCUCUCGACCUCCUGGAUCAGCAUUCAGCAGCCUCGUGACACAGUUGAAGCCAUUAUCGAAUUCUUUGCGUGUAUGUACCCUGGAUCAAGCAGCACUUGCAUUAUACAGGAGAUUCCACCCAAAAUCUAAACCAUGAGUCCAAGCUGAAGAGGAAUAUUUCCAAAAUGAGGUCUACACACACACACAGAGGUUACUUUCCCCUUCAUUAUAGAGAUAUCGAGAGAGAGAGAGAGAUGGGUGGGGGGG